GUGGAUGGUGUGGGCUGAUAUCUGAGAAAAGAACUUGAGGAGCCCAAGAGUCAGCCAAGUCAAGCCACACUGUCAGUAGAGACAAAACCAUCUCCUCUCACUGCUGAAGCAUGGCUGCAUGAUACCCAGGAGGAGAUGGUGCUUUAACAUCCAAGUGACUUGGCACCAGGAUGACACCACCCAUUUUCAAUUUAUGGGUCAAGGCAAUUGCCUUCCACUAGCUGCAAUCGAGCUGUCACCCUGAAGAUUACUGGAUUCA
Molecule: long non-coding RNA, 259 nt
Filed under: Ictidomys tridecemlineatus (thirteen-lined ground squirrel)
Lineage: Eukaryota; Metazoa; Chordata; Mammalia; Rodentia; Sciuridae
Description: lncRNA (ENSSTOG00000031641.1)
Source: RNAcentral